AGCCCAGUGGUGUAGCGGCCAAUCAUCCGAGGCUCUGACCCUUGGGACCCAGGUUCGAAUCCUGGCUGGGCUA
This 73-nucleotide transfer RNA is filed under the name Promethearchaeota archaeon. RNAcentral's name for it is "Candidatus Lokiarchaeota archaeon tRNA-Gln". It matches the Rfam family "tRNA". Rfam says of the family: Transfer RNA (tRNA) molecules are approximately 80 nucleotides in length. Their secondary structure includes four short double-helical elements and three loops (D, anti-codon, and T loops). Further hydrogen bonds mediate the characteristic L-shaped molecular structure. tRNAs have two regions of fundamental functional importance: the anti-codon, which is responsible for specific mRNA codon recognition, and the 3' end, to which the tRNAs corresponding amino acid is attached (by aminoacyl-tRNA synthetases). tRNAs cope with the degeneracy of the genetic code in two manners: having more than one tRNA (with a specific anti-codon) for a particular amino acid; and 'wobble' base-pairing, i.e. permitting non-standard base-pairing at the 3rd anti-codon position. Lineage: Archaea; Promethearchaeati; Promethearchaeota. The record is from RNAcentral.